RNAcentral lists this ribosomal RNA (521 nucleotides) under uncultured bacterium. RNAcentral describes it as "bacterial SSU rRNA". It matches the Rfam family "Archaeal small subunit ribosomal RNA", at positions 345 to 866 of the family's 1478-position model. The record is from RNAcentral.
AACCUCCGCAAUGUGAGAAAUCGCGACGGGGGGAUCCCAAGUGCCAUUCUUAACGGGAUGGCUUUUCAUUAGUGUAAAGAGCUUUUGGAAUAAGAGCUGGGCAAGACCGGUGCCAGCCGCCGCGGUAACACCGGCAGCUCUAGUGGUAACAAUUUUUAUUGGGCCUAAAGCGUCCGUAGCCGGUUUAAUAAGUCUCUGGUGAAAUCCUGUAGCUUAACUGUGGGAAUUGCUGGAGAUACUAUUAGACUUGAGACCGGGAGAGGUUAGAGGUACUCCCAGGGUAGAGGUGAAAUUCUGUAAUCCUGGGAGGACCGCCUGUUGCGAAGGCGUCUAACUGGAACGGUUCUGACGGUGAGGGACGAAAGUUAGGGGCGCGAACCGGAUUAGAUACCCGGGUAGUCCUAACUGUAAACGGUGCGGACUUGGUGUUGGGGUGGCUUUGAGCUGCUCCAGUGCCGAAGGGAAGCUGUUAAGUCCGCCGCCUGGGAAGUACGGUCGCAAGACUGAAACUUAAAGGAAUU